CGUACGUGUAGGUGCGGGUGAUGUCCCCUGCCGGGUUGAGGCCGGUGUCGUGGACGGUGUCGGACGUCCGGUUGCCGAUCGCGUCGGUGACGUACGAC
RNAcentral lists this transfer RNA (98 nucleotides) under Streptomyces kurssanovii. Its description in RNAcentral is "tRNA-Ser". The record is from RNAcentral. Lineage: Bacteria; Bacillati; Actinomycetota; Actinomycetes; Kitasatosporales; Streptomycetaceae.